RNAcentral lists this ribosomal RNA (500 nucleotides) under uncultured bacterium. RNAcentral's name for it is "partial 16S ribosomal RNA". It matches the Rfam family "Bacterial small subunit ribosomal RNA", at positions 28 to 507 of the family's 1533-position model. The record is from RNAcentral.
GACGAACGCUGGCGGCGUGCUUAACACAUGCAAGUCGAACGGGUCUGCCCUGUUUUUUGCGGGGUGGGUCAGUGGCGAACGGGUGAGUAACACGUGAGUAACCUGCCCCUCACUUCUGGAUAACCGCUUGAAAGGGUGGCUAAUACGGGGUGUUCUGGCUGUGCCGCAUGGUGUGGCUGGGAAAGAUUCACUUUUGUGGGGUUUUGGUGGGGGAUGGGCUCGCGGCCUAUCAGCUUGUUGGUGGGGUGAUGGCCUGCCAAGGCUUUGACGGGUAGCCGGCCUGAGAGGGUGGGCGGUCACACUGGGACUGAGAUACGGCCCAGACUCCUGCGGGAGGCAGCAGUGGGGGGUAUUGCACAAUGGGCGGAAGCCUGAUGCAGCGACGUCGCGUGAGGGAUGGAGGCCUUCGGGUUGUGAACCUCUUUCGCCGGUGAAGAAGGUCCUGCUCUUUGUGGUGGGGUUGACGGUAGCCGGGUUAUGAAGCGCCGGCUAACUACGUG